CGUUUCCAAACCAUUGAUGCCGUAAAGCGUUUGGCGC
Molecule: non-coding RNA, 37 nt
Filed under: Synechocystis sp. PCC 6803
Lineage: Bacteria; Bacillati; Cyanobacteriota; Cyanophyceae; Synechococcales; Merismopediaceae
Source: RNAcentral